UUGUGAAAUUCUUCCAUAAUAAAUAGAGUCUGUAAAAGUGGCUAAAAGGGAGUUUUUAUGAGGUAAAAGAGGCUGCAAGAUAUUCCAAAGAGAUCCUAACAAAUUAGCCUUUAUUUUGCACGUUUUUGCCUUAUUUGGCACCUCCAAAUCAGGCUAGAAAUCCUCAUUGCUUUCCCAUUCUGCUCUUAGUCAUCAAACAAGCCAGGUUCACCUUGGAUUCUUUAUUUGGACUUCAAAAC
This 239-nucleotide long non-coding RNA is filed under the name Prunus persica (peach). Its description in RNAcentral is "long non-coding RNA (PPER_LNC001086)". The record is from RNAcentral. Lineage: Eukaryota; Viridiplantae; Streptophyta; Magnoliopsida; Rosales; Rosaceae.